RNAcentral lists this transfer RNA (69 nucleotides) under Urocitellus parryii (Arctic ground squirrel). Its description in RNAcentral is "Spermophilus parryii (Arctic ground squirrel) tRNA". It matches the Rfam family "tRNA". From Rfam's summary of the family: Transfer RNA (tRNA) molecules are approximately 80 nucleotides in length. The record is from Rfam by way of RNAcentral. Lineage: Eukaryota; Metazoa; Chordata; Mammalia; Rodentia; Sciuridae. RNAcentral also lists the same sequence under 2 other names.
GGGGCUGUAGCUCAGUGAUAGAGCACUUGCCUAGCAUGUGUGAGGCACAGGGUUCAAUCCUCAGCACCG